AGAGUUUGAUCCUAGCUCAGAAUGAAUGCUAGUGGUAUGCUUAACACAUGCAAGUCGAACGAGUUUAAUGUAGCUUGCUAUAUUAAAUUAGUGGCAGACGGGUGAGUAAUGCUUGGGAAUUUCCCCAGUAGUAAGGAAUAACUUAUAGAAAUGUAAGGUAAUACUGUAUAAUACCCUAUUAGUUUUCUAAUGGGGGAAAGACUUCGGUCGCUAUUGGAUAAGCCCAAGUCAGAUUAGCUUGUUGGUGAGGUAAAUGCUCACCAAGGCUACGAUCUGUAGCUGGUCUGAGAGGACGAUCAGCCACGUUGGGACUGAGACACGGCCCAAACUCCUACGGGAGGCAGCAGUGGGGAAUAUUGGACAAUGGGCGAAAGCCUGAUCCAGCAAUACCACGUGAGUGAUGAAGGCCUUAGGGUUGUAAAACUCUUUCAGCGGGGAAGAUAAUGACGGUACCCGCAGAAGAAGCACCGGCUAACUCCGUGCCAGCAGCCGCGGUAAUACGGAGGGUGCUAGUAUUAUUCGGAUUUAUUGGGCGUAAAGAGUAUGUAGGCGGUUUAAUGUGUCAAGUGUGAAAUCCCGGAACUCAAUUUCGGAAUUGCAUUUGAAACUAUUUUGCUUGAGUGUGAUAUGGGAUAGCGGAAUUCCUAGUGUAGGGGUGAAAUCUGUAGAUAUUAGGAAGAACACCAGAGGUGAAGACGGCUAUCUAGGUCAUUUCUGACGCUGAGAUACGAAGGUGUGGGGAGCAAACAGGAUUAGAUACCCUGGUAGUCCACACAGUAAACGAUGAGUGCUGGGUGUCUGGUGAAUUAUCAUUGGGCGCUUAAGCUAACGCAUUAAGCACUCCGCCUGGGGAGUACGAUCGCAAGAUUAAAACUCAAAGGAAUUGACGGGGACCCGCACAAGCGGUGGAACAUGUGGUUUAAUUCGAUUUACGCGAAAAACCUUACCAGCUUUUGACAUCCCGAUUUCGAUUUACAGAAAUGUUUAUCUUCAGUUAGGCUGGAUCGGUGAAAGGUGUUGCAUGGCUGUCGUCAGCUCGUGCCGUGAGGUGUUAGGUUAAGUCCUUUAACGAGCGCAACCCUCAUUCUUACUUGCCAGCGGGUAAUGCCGGGAACUAUAAGAAAACUGCCGUUGAUAAAGCGGAGGAAGGUGGGGAUGAUGUCAAGUCAUCAUGGCCCUUAUGGGCUGGGCUACACACAUGUUACAAUGGGAAUUACAACGUGAAGCAAAGAGGCAACUCCGAGCUAAUCAUUCAAAAGUUUUCUCAGUUCGGAUUGCAGGCUGCAACUCGCCUGCAUGAAGUUGGAAUCGCUAGUAAUCGCAGAUCAGCACGCUGCGGUGAAUACGUUCUCGGGCCUUGUACACACUGCCCGUCAAGCCAUGGAAGUUGCUUUCACCUGAAUUUAGUGAGCUAACCUUUUAGGAGGCAGCUAAAUACGGUGGGGGUGAUGACUGGGGUUAAGUCGUAACAAGGUA
RNAcentral lists this ribosomal RNA (1476 nucleotides) under metagenome. Its description in RNAcentral is "bacterial SSU rRNA". It matches the Rfam family "Bacterial small subunit ribosomal RNA". The record is from RNAcentral.